UUCCGGUUGAUCCCGCCGGAGGUUACUGCUAUUGGUGUUCGACUAAGCCAUGCAAGUCAUAUGUUCCUCGUGAACAUGGCAUACUGCUCAGUAACACGUGGAUAACCUGCCCUUGGGUCUGGGAUAACCCCGGGAAACUGGGGAUAAUACCGGAUAACGCAUAUGUGCUGGAAUGCUUUAUGCGUAAAAUGGAUUCGUCCGCCCAAGGAUGGGUCUGCGGCCUAUCAGGUAGUAGUGGGUGUAAUGUACCUACUAGCCAACAACGGGUACGGGUUGUGAGAGCAAGAGCCCGGAGAUGGAUUCUGAGACAUGAAUCCAGGCCCUACGGGGCGCAGCAGGCGCGAAAACUUUACAAUGCGGGCAACCGUGAUAAGGGAACCUCGAGUGCCUGUAAGUGCAGGCUGUUCAGGUGCCUAAAACACACCUGAAGAAAGGGCCGGGCAAGACCGGUGCCAGCCGUCGCGGUAAUACCGGCGGCUCGAGUGGUGGCCGCUUUUAUUGGGCUUAAAGCGUUCGUAGCUGGGUUGUUAAGUCUCUUGGGAAAUCUGGCGGCUUAACCGUCAGGCGUCUAAGGGAUACUGGCAAUCUUGGAACCGGGAGAGGUGAGGGGUACUUCGGGGGUAGGAGUGAAAUCCUGUAAUCCUCGAGGGACCACCUGUGGCGAAGGCGCCUCACCAGAACGGCUUCGACAGUGAGGGACGAAAGCUGGGGGAGCAAACCGGAUUAGAUACCCGGGUAGUCCCAGCCGUAAACUAUGCGCGUUAGGUGUAUCGGUGACCACGAGUUACCGAGGUGCCGAAGGGAAACCGUGAAACGUGCCGCCUGGGAAGUACGGUCGCAAGGCUGAAACUUAAAGGAAUUGGCGGGGGAGCACAACAACGGGUGGAGCCUGCGGUUUAAUUGGACUCAACGCCGGACAACUCACCGGGGACGACAGCAAUAUGUAGGCCAGGCUGAAGACCUUGCCUGAAUCGCUGAGAGGAGGUGCAUGGCC
RNAcentral lists this ribosomal RNA (994 nucleotides) under uncultured archaeon. Its description in RNAcentral is "bacterial SSU rRNA". It matches the Rfam family "Archaeal small subunit ribosomal RNA", at positions 1 to 999 of the family's 1478-position model. The record is from RNAcentral.